UGGGGAAUAUUGCACAAUGGGCGCAAGCCUGAUGCAGCCAUGCCGCGUGUGUGAAGAAGGCCUUCGGGUUGUAAAGCACUUUCAGCGAGGAGGAAGGUGGUGAACUUAAUACGUUCAUCAAUUGACGUUACUCGCAGAAGAAGCACCGGCUAACUCCGUGCCAGCAGCCGCGGUAAUACGGAGGGUGCAAGCGUUAAUCGGAAUUACUGGGCGUAAAGCGCACGCAGGCGGUUUGUUAAGUCAGAUGUGAAAUCCCCGGGCUCAACCUGGGAACUGCAUUUGAAACUGGCAAGCUAGAGUCUCGUAGAGGGGGGUAGAAUUCCAGGUGUAGCGGUGAAAUGCGUAGAGAUCUGGAGGAAUACCGGUGGCGAAGGCGGCCCCCUGGACGAAGACUGACGCUCAGGUGCGAAAGCGUGGGGAGCAAAACAGGAUUAGAUACCCCUGGUAGUCCACGCUGUAAAACGAUGUCGAUUUUGGAGGUUGUGCCCUUGAGGCGUGGCUUCCGGAGCUAACGCGUUAAAUCGACCGCCUAGGGAGUACGGCCGCAAGGUUAAAAACUUAAAAGGAAUU
Molecule: ribosomal RNA, 570 nt
Filed under: uncultured bacterium
Lineage: Bacteria
Description: partial 16S ribosomal RNA
Rfam family: Bacterial small subunit ribosomal RNA
Source: RNAcentral